AACGGCAAGCGUCCUUCNGGGACGCCUAUAAGUGGCGAACGGGUGAGUAACACGUAGGUGAUCUGCCCUUGAGUUGGGGAUAGCCCAUGGAAACAUGGGGUAAUACCGAAUACGCUCCGGAUGCUGUGGCAACCGGAGGAAAAGCGCUUCGGCGCUGCUCGAGGAUGAGCCUGCGGCUGAUUAGCUAGUUGGUAGGGUAACGGCCUACCAAGGCGACGAUCAGUAGCCGGCCUGAGAGGGUGAGCGGCCACACUGGGACUGAGAUACGGCCCAGACUCCUACGGGAGGCAGCAGCUAAGAAUCUUCUGCAAUGGGGGAAACCCUGACAGAGCGACGCCGCGUGGGUGAUGAAGGCCGGAARGUUGUAAAGCCCUUUUCUAUUCGAGGAAUAACCGCCUGAGGCAAUGCAGGCGGGAUGACGGUAGGGKAGGAAUAAGCCCCGGCCAAUUACGUGCCAGCAGSCGCGGUAACACGUAUSGGGCGAGCGUUSUUCGGAAUCAUUGGGCGUAAAGGGCGCGUAGGCGGAUAUGCAAGCUUGGUGUGAAAGACCGCASCUCAACUGCGGGAGSGCGCUGRGAACUGKSUAUCUAGAGKUCAAGRDGGGGAGCUG
RNAcentral lists this ribosomal RNA (610 nucleotides) under uncultured spirochete. RNAcentral's name for it is "partial 16S ribosomal RNA". It matches the Rfam family "Bacterial small subunit ribosomal RNA", at positions 65 to 663 of the family's 1533-position model. Lineage: Bacteria; Pseudomonadati; Spirochaetota; Spirochaetia; Spirochaetales. The record is from RNAcentral.